GCGCCGCUGCAAUGCGGGGCGGCAACGGGUACUGUCGCAGAGGCAACCAGAGGAGAAUCGCUCCAUGUGGGCGAGCCCUGGGACUUGGCAUGUCCGCUGUUUUAGAGGUGAAGCAGCAUCCCAAUAUGCUUGUGAUCCAGAUAGCUCAAUUGAUCAUAUUCACGUGGCCACGCUGGAUGAAAUGUGGAUCAGUGACAACCCUGAGCACAAGGCAACCCUAAGUCACAUGCUAACAGUGGAGGAAGACAGAACAUAGGUCCCUGUGACAAUGCUCAGCUACAGAAGCCUUGGCCUGCUGCAUUGGCCGAGCACAUUUGUAAUAAAUUCAGAGUCACCAAC
Molecule: long non-coding RNA, 339 nt
Filed under: Mus musculus (house mouse)
Lineage: Eukaryota; Metazoa; Chordata; Mammalia; Rodentia; Muridae
Description: lincRNA-EC155
Source: RNAcentral